CCUACGGGGGGCUGCAGUGGGGAAUAUUGGACAAUGGGGGGAACCCUGAUCCAGCCAUGCCGCGUGUGUGAAGAAGGCCCUCGGGUUGUAAAGCACUUUCAGUGAGGAAGAACGCCUGGUGGUUAAUACCCAUCAGGAAAGACAUCACUCACAGAAGAAGCACCGGCUAACUCCGUGCCAGCAGCCGCGGUAAUACGGAGGGUGCGAGCGUUAAUCGGAAUUACUGGGCGUAAAGCGCGCGUAGGUGGCUUGAUAAGCCGGUUGUGAAAGCCCCGGGCUCAACCUGGGUACGGCAUCCGGAACUGUCAAGCUAGAGUGCAGGAGAGGAAGGUAGAAUUCCCGGUGUAGCGGUGAAAUGCGUAGAGAUCGGGAGGAAUACCAGUGGCGAAGGCGGCCUUCUGGACUGACACUGACACUGAGGUGCGAAAGCGUGGGUAGCAAACAGGAUUAGAUACCCUAGUAGUC
This 465-nucleotide ribosomal RNA is filed under the name Vreelandella stevensii. RNAcentral describes it as "partial 16S ribosomal RNA". It matches the Rfam family "Bacterial small subunit ribosomal RNA", at positions 338 to 795 of the family's 1533-position model. Lineage: Bacteria; Pseudomonadati; Pseudomonadota; Gammaproteobacteria; Oceanospirillales; Halomonadaceae. The record is from RNAcentral.